UGGCGGACGGGUGAGUAACGCGUGGGUAACCUGCCGUAUACAGGGGGAUAACACUUAGAAAUAGGUGCUAAAACCGCAUAAGCGCACAGCGCCGCAUGGCGCAGUGUGAAAAACUCCGGUGGUAUACGAUGGACCCGCGUCUGAUUAGCCAGUUGGCAGGGUAACGGCCUACCAAAGCGACGAUCAGUAGCCGGCCUGAGAGGGUGGACGGCCACAUUGGGACUGAGACACGGCCCAAACUCCUACGGGAGGCAGCAG
RNAcentral lists this ribosomal RNA (258 nucleotides) under uncultured bacterium. Its description in RNAcentral is "partial 16S ribosomal RNA". It matches the Rfam family "Bacterial small subunit ribosomal RNA", at positions 96 to 354 of the family's 1533-position model. The record is from RNAcentral.